RNAcentral lists this ribosomal RNA (409 nucleotides) under Symbiodinium sp. Oga06. RNAcentral's name for it is "eukaryotic LSU rRNA". It matches the Rfam family "Eukaryotic large subunit ribosomal RNA", at positions 151 to 534 of the family's 3401-position model. The record is from RNAcentral. RNAcentral also lists the same sequence under 1 other name. Lineage: Eukaryota; Dinophyceae; Suessiales; Symbiodiniaceae.
GCAGAUAAAGCGCUAUCGGCGGCUCGAGCGUAAGCCUCUUGGAACAGAGCGUGUGCCCAGGUGAGAAUCCUGUGUUUCGCUUGAUGUCCGCCGUAUACGGCGCUUGCUCUCAGAGUCACGCUCCUCGGAAUUGGAGCGUAAAUCAGGUGGUAGAUUUCAUCUAAAGCCAAAUACAGGCUCGAGACCGAUAGCGAACAAGUACCAUGAGGGAAAGAUGAAAAGGACUUUGGAAAGAGAGUUAAAAGUGCUUGAAAUCGCUGAAAGGGAAGCGAAUGGAACCACAUUCAUGGCUGAGAUUGCUGUAAGUGCUUGUGAAUGCUAGUUGCUCUGGCUGGGUGUGAGCAUGUACUUGCAGUGUUUCUUAGCUUGCGCGUCACUUGCCACAUACGUGUGAGGAUGGCCUUUUGCA